UUUGUACGCGAAGAACCUUACCUGGUCUUGACAUCCCCAGAAAUUUCUAGAGAUGGAGUAGUGCCUUCGGGAACUCUGAGACAGGUGCCGCAAGGGCGUCGUCAACUCGGGUUGUGAAAUGUUUGGUUAAGUCCCCCAACGAGCGCAACCCCUUUCCUUUUUUUCCAGCCGGGCCGGCCGGGAACUCUAAGGAGACUGCCGGUGAUAAACCGGAGGAAGGUGGGGAGGACGUCAAGUCAUCAUGGCCCUUACGACCAGGGCUACACACGUGCUACAAUGGCGGAUACAAAGGGUUGCAACCCCGCGAGGGGGAGCUAAUCUCACAAAGCUCGUCGUAGUCCGGAUUGGAGUCUGCAACUCGACUCCAUGAAGUCGGAAUCGCUAGUAAUCGUGACAGAGUAAAUAUUCG
This 409-nucleotide ribosomal RNA is filed under the name uncultured Gammaproteobacteria bacterium. RNAcentral's name for it is "bacterial SSU rRNA". It matches the Rfam family "Bacterial small subunit ribosomal RNA", at positions 954 to 1361 of the family's 1533-position model. The record is from RNAcentral. Lineage: Bacteria; Pseudomonadati; Pseudomonadota; Gammaproteobacteria.